RNAcentral lists this ribosomal RNA (535 nucleotides) under uncultured fungus. RNAcentral's name for it is "eukaryotic LSU rRNA". The stretch from base 185 to 338 matches the Rfam family "5.8S ribosomal RNA". Lineage: Eukaryota; Fungi. The record is from RNAcentral.
AGGUCUCCGUUGGUGAACCAGCGGAGGGAUCAUUACCGAGUUUACAACUCCCAAACCCCUGUGAACAUACCACUUGUUGCCUCGGCGGACCAGCCCGCUCCCGGUAAAACGGGACGGCCCGCCAGAGGACCCCUAAAACUCUGUUUCUAUAUGUAACUUCUGAGUAAAACCAUAAAUAAAUCAAAACUUUCAACAACGGAUCUCUUGGUUCUGGCAUCGAUGAAGAACGCAGCAAAAUGCGAUAAGUAAUGUGAAUUGCAGAAUUCAGUGAAUCAUCGAAUCUUUGAACGCACAUUGCGCCCGCCAGUAUUCUGGCGGGCAUGCCUGUUCGAGCGUCAUUUCAACCCUCAAGCACAGCUUGGUGUUGGGACUCGCGUUAAUUCGCGUUCCUCAAAUUGAUUGGCGGUCACGUCGAGCUUCCAUAGCGUAGUAGUAAAACCCUCGUUACUGGUAAUCGUCGCGGCCACGCCGUUAAACCCCAACUUNUGAAUGUUGACCUCGGAUCAGGUAGGAAUACCCGCUGAACUUAAGCAUA